AAUAACGUGUUCAAAAAAUAAAAGCUGUGCCCACAGGCAGAGGCUAUUGAGCUGAACUGUAUUUCUGUGGAAGGGAACAAGAGAAUUUUGCUCCUUGGAUUUUAAGAUUUACCCUUCCAUACUCUGCACUGGGAACCUGUGACUUGGUGAACUGCAGCAAGUGAUCAAAACCAUUGAGGAAGAGUGACCAGGAUAUGUGUUGCUGCGUCCUUAUCUUGUUGAGAUAUCAUCUAGUGUCCUACCCAGUAUAUCUUGCACUCACAAUUUUUGACUGGGCUCUGCGUUCAUCCAUUCCUGGGGCUUCUGUUCUGCCAGACAGUUUCUAACUGCUUAGUUCAGUACCAUCAAAAUCUGAUUUCUGAAGACUCGGUGCAGUUCUGCGUUGUGCCAUGACUGACAGGUCAUUCUCUUAUUGCUGCAUGUGAAGAUCACUCUUGCUGAACGCAGCCGUUCAAAGCACACUGUGAUGGGAAGUUUGCCUAGUCGGAAGAAACAGAUUGCUACCGAGCCAAGCCAGCAGCCAAAUACACAGAACGACCAGGCCCUUGACUCCGGCUGUGGCAGCAGGACAACAGGUGCCAGCACCUCUAUAGUGGUUGCAGUCUGUAAUUUUCCUUCUGGGCAUGCACAGCCAAUACUCAGGAUGGGAGAACAACUGAAUUUACUGUCUGAAGAUGGUGAAUGGUGGAAAGUGGAAUCAGUUGUAACUGGAAAAGACUGCUAUAUUCCCAGCAACCAUGUAGCUAAAAUCUCUCACAGGUGGCUUUAUGAGGGUAUCAACCGAGCAAAAGCUGAGGAGCUGUUGCUGCUCCCUCCCAACCGUGAAGGCUCUUUCUUGAUAAGAGAAAGCCAAAUGAGGAAAGCAGGUGGCUACUCUUUAUCUAUCAGGCACACCAAUCGUGAAUCCUGGGAUUGUGUGAAACACUAUCGCAUUAAUUGCCUGGCCAACAACUGGCUUUAUAUCUCUCCCCGUCUCACAUUUCCAAGUUUGCAAGACUUGGUGGACUAUUACUCUGAAACUGGGGAUGGCUUAUGUUGCUGCUUGAAGGAGCCAUGCUUCAUUCAAAGAUGUAUUCCAAACCUCCCUCAUAACUUUUCCAAACCUGUGGUAAUGAAAAAGCCAGCUCUCAAUUGGCAGGAGCUCAGCAGGUGGAAGAGCCCUGUCGGAUGCAUCAAAAAGCUCAAGGAAUACUGGAAAGGAUUACGCCCUGGUAGAAGCCACUAAGGUGGAGAAAAGCCAGAACACUCCAGAUCAGCCCUUCCCAGCAAGAGGGUUAUACAACAAUACAUCCACAAGAGACGAUCCCUAUGAUCAGAAAUCAGGGAUUUCUUAUUUGACAUCAAAGAACUUACGAUAGUCAUAACAGGCUACCUGAUGAAAGCACAACAGCUUCCUGUAGCGGAAAGUGAACUCCUGCGGAGGCAGAGAAAGGACAAUUCCAUACAAGAGCCUGACCGGACUUCGUUGGAUGACAAGGAAAGACCAACCGAAGCCACAGAGCCCCCAAGUGGAACAACAAUAAGCUCAGCUGUGAACAGUGGCGGAAAAGGCCUGGGUAUAGGUGCACCAACAGUUAGGCUGAAGGGGAGAAGGAAAAACACUGUUAGGUCUGGUAGUAAGGUGGCCAAUCCCUUGCAGGGGAAGGUAAAGAAAGUCAAGAAAGCUCAGACCUGUUAGCAGAAAGUCCACCUCUUGAAGACUCUCCAAUCAGUCUAGGCCUGCGGGAAGCUGUCACUUCUUAUCU
Non-coding RNA from Pogona vitticeps (central bearded dragon), 1745 nucleotides. Lineage: Eukaryota; Metazoa; Chordata; Lepidosauria; Squamata; Agamidae. The record is from RefSeq and is a predicted model, not a curated record.